This 24-nucleotide non-coding RNA is filed under the name Arabidopsis thaliana (thale cress). Lineage: Eukaryota; Viridiplantae; Streptophyta; Magnoliopsida; Brassicales; Brassicaceae. The record is from RNAcentral.
GUACUGCAAAUGUUAAGGUGGACA